UCCCCUACCCAUCUUCUCGUCCCUCACUCCCUAAUUCGCCUCCAUCGCUAGACAGCGCAGCAGUCAUUUAGCUAUGGAGGUCACAGGCCAUUGAAUCUAGAAGUGAAGGUCUUAAUUUCUUGUCCACCGAAAAGGCUGCUUUGACUGGCCUUCCCGAACGAGCUCACAAGAAAGUUGCCCUCCUGCUCACUGCCAGGCCUACAACAUUUCUCAAAUGCCUCCUAGAUCAAGACACCCAAGGGCAUCAAGAAACUCCCCAUGUGGUGGUCCAUGUUCUAAAUCUACAAGGUUUGGAUCAGAACCAUCAACCAACACACAUGUGCCUGAAGAAAGGAGGACUCAACCAAGUAGUGAUGCAAAUGAGGGAACUUCUAGCAUGAAUGUUCUCGUCGACCAAGCUAGUGAUACUGCUAGACUAUUUGAGGAGGAGAUGCCAUUGCUUAAUGAAGCACCAAAUCCCAGGCAACACCGAAACCCGACCUGGGGGAGAGGGCUAAACAAGCUUACUAGAUCUAUGGGUUGUAAAAUGCGGCAAUCAUUUGUCGAAGGGAAGAAACGACCUGAGCAGCUUGUGCAAGCAACAAACCUAGCUUCAGAGUCUGGCAUGGUGGUGCGGAACCAUGUACCUAUCUACCCACAUUGGAAGGAUUAUAAGAAUAAAAUGAAUAAGAUAUCCUUUACGAUCACUUGAGCUACCUAGCUGAUGGGGUCCAUCAAUAGCGUUAUAGGCUGAAAAGGAAAUAUUUCAAUGAUGUUCGGGAGAACGAAGUACUCUAAAAAACCCACCAAAUAUUACUCAAGAAGAUUCGGCAAAGCUUGUGCAGAAGUGGAAUUAUCCAAAACACAAGGCAACAUCUCAAAAGAACAAACAAAAUCGAGGAAAAGUCCGACUUCACCAAACGACUGGUUCUCAGAGUUAUGUUGCUAAAAGAUUCUCCUUGGACCAAAAUAAUGGGGAAGAACCUAAUUUGAUGGAUCUUUUGAAGGCUACCCACUUCAACAAGACAAAGGGUUACAAUGAUGAUGUACAAGAAGUAAUUGUAAGUAUAUUGUUUGCCAAAUAUAAAAUUGUACAUGUGUGAUGUUAUUUGAAUGAUACGUUGAUCUACAUGGAAAGCCAAAUUGUUGUUUUAGUGUGUUGUGUUCUUCAUAUGGGAGGGUUAUAGAAUAAUUUAAUUUUAUGACAUGCCAAGUAGCAGCCCGAUUUGUUUAAGACGUAUUACAUCUGCCCAAACUGUGGAGUUUGUACUCAUGUUUAGAUCCUAAUGGCAACCCAUUUUUCAACAGGGAUAGUAUGGAUGAGUAUUUUUAAUUCUUGUUGUUGGUGGAAAUUUUGCUUCUCAUAUGAAAAAUGGAUUUGUGUAAAACCCAACUAGAAUUAUUUAUGUUGUGAUCAUCCCAUUUCAUCAAAUUUUAGUUCAUACCCAAUUGUUUCAUGCUUUAUUUAAAAGGAGCUUUAUGCACCCUGUAUAGAAUAAUCCUACAUAUUCGUAUUGUCUGAAUUCAAUUUCAGGAUGCUAUGGAGACUGCAAUUGUGAAAAUUCCAGAAGAAGGUCAAUACCCAAAACCUGUAGAUGAAAUUGUAGGUUGAGUUAUAUCUAAGUACAACAAAUCAAGUAAGUUUUUGGUGAAUAUGGGCAUUCACUCAGGAGGUUCAAACCAAACUGGUACCAAUACAUCUGUUGCAUACAUAAGAGAACUUAAACAGUUGGUUCAAGAACAAACUCUACAGAUGAAUAAUGCGAGUAGAAAUGAGUAAGAGCUGCGUGAAACUGUUGGUUCUCAGCAGGAAGAAAUUGUUCAUUUGAAGAAGCAAAUGAAUCAAACAAAUGGCAUGAAGAGGACAUGGCCAUUUUGAAGAAAAAGCAAGAAACAAUUGAUGCACUUGUUAUGAAACUCUUGAGCAAAUCACUGAACAUCUAAAGCUCAGGUUACUCAUCUUUUUAAUGAAAUGGCAUGGUAGAUGCUUGAGAAGCUUUUGAAGUGUAACUUACAUGCAUGACAGGUUAAAGGCAUGCAAUAUUUUGCACUUAAUGUGUAGCUCGUAACCAUUGUUCUAUGUGUUCUUUACUUUGUGAUAACUCUGGAAUCCUAGUAGGAUG
Phragmites australis (common reed) is the source of this 2102-nucleotide long non-coding RNA. RefSeq lists it as uncharacterized. The transcript has 7 exons. The record is from RefSeq and is a predicted model, not a curated record. Lineage: Eukaryota; Viridiplantae; Streptophyta; Magnoliopsida; Poales; Poaceae.